UUCUUCCAAAAGAAAUCUUCAUCCAUAUACAUUUGAGAGUUAGAGUUCAUUCUUUGUAUCAGUUUAUGCAAUCUUCAUCAAGAUGAACAUCAUCAUCACCAAGCUUCCUAUCAACCCUCUUCUCCUUCUCAGGAGGAAGAGAUACUAUGGAGUUGUAGCAAAAGAUGUGGAGCUUCAAAUGGGAGCAACAAGGAUGGUGAGUGAGUCACAAUCAUCAUCAGCCAAAAAUGAUAAUAAAAAUAAAGAUGAAAUUUUUUGGAUGAGAGAUCCAAAGAGUGGAAACUGGAUUCCUGAGAAUCACUUUGAUGAACAAGUUGAUGCUGCUGACCUCAGAGCCAAGUUCCUUUCACAACAACAAAAUCAACACUCAAACAAUUUUUGAUCAUAUUGGCUUUAUAAUUUUAGAAUACUUAAAAAGUGUUACUAAGAUUAAGGUUAUAUUUAUUUUUAUAUUUUUCAAAUAAAGAAGUUUUUUUUUAAAUAUUAAAAUAUUAUUUUAAUUUUAACAAAAUAUUACUAAAGUUGUAUANNNCUGUAGUCAUCAUAAUGAUAAUUACUAUAACAUGUACCAAUAUAUAUGAUGGAAUAAAAAUACUUAUAAUAAAUUUCAUCAGAAGUUAUAUUAUAUGUGUAAACCUUAGGUUGUUGCAACAUUUCAAGUCCUUGCUCAAAUUGAUUGAGAAUUAGAAACUACUUAUCAUUAAUUAAUAUGUAUUUUAUUU
Molecule: non-coding RNA, 722 nt
Organism: Arachis ipaensis
Lineage: Eukaryota; Viridiplantae; Streptophyta; Magnoliopsida; Fabales; Fabaceae
Source: RefSeq, a predicted model, not a curated record